UACAGGGGGGGCAAGCGUUGUCCGGAAUUACUGGGCGUACAGCGCGCGCAGGCGGUCCACUACGUGCCGUGUGACAGCCGUCGGCUUAACCGACGGAGGCCAGGGUACACGGGUGAACUUGAGGCAGAGAGAGGGAUGUGGAAUACCCGGUGGAGCGGUGAAAUGCGUAGAGAUCGGGUGGAACACCAGGGGCGAAGGCGGCAUCCUGGCUCUGUUACUGACGCUGAGGCGCGAGAGCGUGGGGAGCAAACCGG
This 254-nucleotide ribosomal RNA is filed under the name uncultured bacterium. RNAcentral's name for it is "partial 16S ribosomal RNA". It matches the Rfam family "Bacterial small subunit ribosomal RNA", at positions 524 to 776 of the family's 1533-position model. The record is from RNAcentral.